Molecule: ribosomal RNA, 301 nt
Filed under: uncultured bacterium
Lineage: Bacteria
Description: partial 16S ribosomal RNA
Rfam family: Bacterial small subunit ribosomal RNA
Source: RNAcentral
CAGCCGCCGCGGUAAUACGAAGGGUGCAAGCGUUAAUCGGAAUUACUGGGCGUAAAGCGUGCGUAGGCGGUGAGUUAAGUCUGUUGUGAAAUCCCCGGGCUCAACCUGGGAAUGGCAAUGGAUACUGGCAAGCUAGAGUGUGUCAGAGGAUGGUGGAAUUCCCGGUGUAGCGGUGAAAUGCGUAGAGAUCGGGAGGAACAUCAGUGGCGAAGGCGGCCACCUGGGACAACACUGACGCUGAGGCACGAAAGCGUGGGGAGCAAACAGGAUUAGAUACCCCCGUAGUCCCUGUCUCUUAUAC